This 315-nucleotide ribosomal RNA is filed under the name uncultured eukaryote. RNAcentral's name for it is "partial large subunit ribosomal RNA". It matches the Rfam family "Eukaryotic large subunit ribosomal RNA", at positions 40 to 350 of the family's 3401-position model. The record is from RNAcentral.
AUAUCAUUAGCGGGAGGAAAAGAAAUCAACUGAGAUUCCAGUAGUAACGGCGAGCGAAACUGGAAAAGCCCACGCUGAAGCUGGCUAGAUUUAAUUCUGGUCUGCAAUGUAGCAAAUCCAUCGCGUCCUCCUGAGGGGGUUGCCAGCGAAGUGACCUGGAACGGUCUACCAAGGAAGGUGACAGUCCUGUAGCUGGUGGCCUCUAAGGGCAUGGCGUGAAUGGUUGAGUCGUGCUGUUUGGGAGUACAGCACUAAUCCGGUGGUGUGUUCCAUCGAAGGCUAAAUACUUGUCGUGAGACCGAUAGCGCACAAGUA